AGUGAACGCUGGCGGUAGGCCUAACACAUGCCAGUCGAACGGCAGCACAGUAAGAGCUUGCUCUUACGGGUGGCGAGUGGCGGACGGGUGAGGAAUACAUCGGAAUCUACUUUUUCGUGGGGGAUAACGUAGGGAAACUUACGCUAAUACCGCAUACGACCUACGGGUGAAAGCAGGGGAUCUUCGGACCUUGCGCGAUUGAAUGAGCCGAUGUCGGAUUAGCUAGUUGGCGGGGUAAAGGCCCACCAAGGCGACGAUCCGUAGCUGGUCUGAGAGGAUGAUCAGCCACACUGGAACUGAGACACGGUCCAAACUCCUACGGGAGGCAGCAGUGGGGAAUAUUGGACAAUGGGCGCAAGCCUGAUCCAGCCAUACCGCGUGGGUGAAGAAGGCCUUCGGGUUGUAAAGCCCUUUUGUUGGGAAAGAAAAGCAGCAGGUUAAUACCCCGCUGUUCUGACGGUACCCAAAGAAUAAGCACCGGCUAACUUCGUG
This 492-nucleotide ribosomal RNA is filed under the name uncultured bacterium. RNAcentral's name for it is "partial 16S ribosomal RNA". It matches the Rfam family "Bacterial small subunit ribosomal RNA", at positions 29 to 507 of the family's 1533-position model. The record is from RNAcentral.